GAUCAGUUCUCUCUAUUUAUUGUUAAUUUCAUGAAAAAUGAUCUUUUAUAGUAAUUUUAGCCUAAACCAGCCUAGACUUUCAAAACAAAUCUUAUCAAGAUUCUAAAAUUGCACCUUCUGAGUUCAUAAUAAAUGUAUGCAUAAAGUCUGUCAAGUUCAAAAUUUAGCAGUAGCACUGUAUAAUAAUACCUUACAUUUUGCGUAAUGCACAUAACUAACAGUAAGUUAGAUC
Cinara cedri is the source of this 232-nucleotide non-coding RNA. NCBI's taxonomy places the organism in Eukaryota, Metazoa, Arthropoda, Insecta, Hemiptera, Aphididae. The record is from the annotation of a GenBank genome assembly.